RNAcentral lists this ribosomal RNA (508 nucleotides) under uncultured bacterium. RNAcentral describes it as "partial 16S ribosomal RNA". It matches the Rfam family "Bacterial small subunit ribosomal RNA", at positions 30 to 523 of the family's 1533-position model. The record is from RNAcentral.
AUUGAACGCUAACGGCGUGCUUAACACAUGCAAGUCGAACGGCAGCACAGUAUGUAGCAAUACAUAUGGGUGGCGAGUGGCGGACGGGUGAGUAAUACGUAGGAAUCUACCUUGUAGUGGGGGAUAACCCGGGGAAACUCGGGCUAAUACCGCAUAAUCUUUACGAAGCAAAGAGGGCCUCUGAAUAUGCUCUUGCUAAAAGAUGAGCCUACGUCGGAUUAGCUAGUUGGUGGGGUAAAGGCCUACCAAGGCGACGAUCCGUAGCUGGUCUGAGAGGAUGAUCAGCCACACUGGGACUGAGACACGGCCCAGACUCCUACGGGAGGCAGCAGUGGGGAAUAUUGGACAAUGGGCGAAAGCCUGAUCCAGCAACGCCGUGUGUGUGAAGAAGGCCUUAGGGUUGUAAAGCACUUUCAGUGGGGAAGAAAAGUUCAAGGCUAAUACCCUUGAAUCUUGACGUUACCCACAGAAGAAGCACUGGCUAAUUCUGUGCCAGCAGCCGCCGUAA